GAUGAACGCUGGCGGCGUGCUUAACACAUGCAAGUCGAACGGAAAGGCCCAAGCUUGCUUGGGUACUCGAGUGGCGAACGGGUGAGUAACACGUGGGUGAUCUGCCCUGCACUUCGGGGUAAGCCUGGGAAACUGGGUCUAAUACCGGAUAGGACCACUUCUUGGAUGUUGUGGUGGAAAGUUUUUUCGGUGUGGGAUGAGCUCGCGGCCUAUCAGCUUGUUGGUGGGGUAAUGGCCUACCAAGGCGUCGACGGGUAGCCGGCCUGAGAGGGUGUACGGCCACAUUGGGACUGAGAUACGGCCCAGACUCCUACGGGAGGCAGCAGUGGGGAAUAUUGCACAAUGGGCGCAAGCCUGAUGCAGCGACGCCGCGGGGGGGAUGACGGCCUUCGGGUUGUAAACUCCUUUCGCUAGGGACGAAGCGUUUUGUGACGGUACCUGGAGAAGAAGCACCGGCUAACUACGUG
RNAcentral lists this ribosomal RNA (467 nucleotides) under uncultured bacterium. RNAcentral's name for it is "partial 16S ribosomal RNA". It matches the Rfam family "Bacterial small subunit ribosomal RNA", at positions 28 to 507 of the family's 1533-position model. The record is from RNAcentral.